Molecule: ribosomal RNA, 301 nt
Filed under: uncultured bacterium
Lineage: Bacteria
Description: partial 16S ribosomal RNA
Rfam family: Bacterial small subunit ribosomal RNA
Source: RNAcentral
CAGCAGCCGCGGUAAGACAGAGGAUGCAAGCGUUAUCCGGAAUGAUUGGGCGUAAAGCGUCUGUAGGUGGCUUUUCAAGUUCGCCGUCAAAUCCCAGGGCUCAACCCUGGACAGGCGGUGGAAAUUACCAAGCUGGAGUACGGUAGGGGCAGAGGGAAUUUCCGGUGGAGCGGUAAAAUGCGUUGGGAUCGGAAAGAACACCAACGGCGAAAGCACUCUGCUGGGCCGACACUGACACUGAGAGACGAAAGCUAGGGGAGCAAAUGGGAUUAGAUACCCGCGUAGUCCCUGUCUCUUAUAC